AUGGCCCCUGCAUUGGCAUCGCUGGCUCCCAACCCUGGCUCACUCCUGAUGGUGUUGACGACCUGCAGACUCCUUCUGCCAUCUAGGGAGCCGUGGGUCAUCCCCCAGCCAAAAGUUAACCUCUGGCGUGCCUUGGCUCAGUCAUUAGGGCAAGACAGCAUAUGCCUUGACACCGGCGCAGCAGAGGACCCGAUGUCGUCCUGCCUUGUGGGGAUCCCUUUCUCUCCUGGCGAAUUCCCCUCUGCCUUCCAGGCUGCCCUUUCCCCCAUUUUGGCCUGGAGCCUUACUUUCCUCCCCGGCUUUGAACCCAGCAACGCCUGGAGAGACGGAGUGGCGAGGCUGGAUCCUGCGCCCUCCGAGCCCACAGAAUUACACUUACUCGGUUCCGCCAAUUCUUCUAUUUGUUUUCAGUUUGAUUAUACCAUUACCCCCAUAGAGAGGGGCAGUGAGGUGGUCCUGCAAACAAAGAAGGAAUAUCAGGCUAACCAGUGGUGUCGGGCUGUUCUGAAGAUCGUCGGCCCCACCACUACUAAGCGGACCCCUUACGCCCUUCCAAGGGGGGUGUUUUUGAUUUGUGGCAACCGAGCGUGGGCAGGCAUCCCCUCUGGUCUGGUCGGAGGGCCGUGCACUUUUGGCCGGCUGUCGCUGUUUACCCCCAACAUCACCCAAAUUAUCAACUGGAAAAGGACAAACGUCACAUCUGAAUUAGCUAGACCUAAAAGAGAUCUCAAAGAUCUCACCGAAGAUUGUGACGAUGAAAUUACUCAUUGGUCACAUCCUAAAUCUGUCGCCUUUACCAUCCUAUUGCCUUGGGUAUCGGUGGCUAAGGCUCUGGGCGAAUUGGGCCGCCUGGAGUGUUGGGUGGUUAAACAAGCCAAUUAUACUUCAGCCGCGUUAUACGACCUCCUUAAAGACGAGGAAAUUACAAGGAAGGCGACACUCCAAAACAGGGCAGCAAUAGAUUUUCUAUUGCUGCUCCAUCACCAUCACUGUGAGGAGUUUGAGGGCCUCUGCUGUCUGAACCUGUCCUCUCGAGCCGAGGACGCCAAACACUCCAUUAAAAGACUCCAAGACCUCGUCCAUCAGGUCAAACAGGAGACAUCGGACUGGCUGGGGGACAUAUUCAAGGGUUGGGGCUUUAGCGGGUGGGCCAGCUCAGUCUUAGAAUCUGUUUGUAAAAUGGUUGUAAGUUUGAUUGUACUUUUAGUUUUGUUCAUACUGGUCCGCGGCUUGGUCCAAAGACUGAUAGCCAGAGCAACAUCAAUAACUGCCAAUCAUGCCGCAAUUCCUCUGGAAGAUCACUUCGAGCUGAAGGACCUCUCCUCAGAGGCCGGAAGAGCUGCGGAUGAGGAGGGGUCAACCGAGCCGCCUCAAGAACAUCUAGGUACACGCGAAUUCCAGCUCGAAGAAGGCGAGGAUUGGCAGGACCAGCCGCAGGCAUUGUAUUUUUGA
RNAcentral lists this long non-coding RNA (1452 nucleotides) under Zonotrichia albicollis (white-throated sparrow). RNAcentral describes it as "lncRNA (ENSZALG00000010611.1)". The record is from RNAcentral. Lineage: Eukaryota; Metazoa; Chordata; Aves; Passeriformes; Passerellidae.